RNAcentral lists this long non-coding RNA (2621 nucleotides) under Panicum hallii. RNAcentral's name for it is "long non-coding RNA (PHAL_LNC000096)". The record is from RNAcentral. Lineage: Eukaryota; Viridiplantae; Streptophyta; Magnoliopsida; Poales; Poaceae.
AUUUUUUUCCUUCACUGCUCGGCCUAGCCGCUCCCCCCCGCCCCGAUCCUCCUCUCCCUCUCUCCUUCUCUCUCUCUCUCUGACGCACUGGGCCCGCCCGUCAGGGCCUUCUCCCACCUCCAGCCGCUCCGCCUUCCCCCACCGCCGCCGCUCUCUCCGGCUGUUUCUCCCGCGCCCCUUGCACUCCCGUCUACCCCGGCCCGCCUUGAAGGCCGCCAUCAAUCGCCGCCAUCGCCUCCUUGCCUCCCAUUCCGUUCCCCUCCCCUCUCCCGCCACUAACGGCCGGCCGCUCGCCAUUGAUGGCCAUCACGGCCACCACCGUGCCCCGGCCGCCACCACCCCGCCCCUUCUCCUCUUUCCCUCCCUCUAUAAAACACACGCCCGAGCCCCAUGCUCCCUUCUUCCAAUUUCCCCCUCGCUCCACGCCCCCUCUCGCAGCGCUGCCGCAUGAGAGCUUCGAGAGCCGCCGCCGUCGAUCCGUCGCCCCGCUGCUUCUCCUUGACGACCAGCCGCCGCCGAAGUUUCCCCACAUGGUGAGGAAGCCUCCAGGCCCUUUUCCCCUCUCUCUCCCGCACCAGCGCCUCGGCGAUUGCUCGCUGGAGCGCCGUGCCCGUCCCUCACCGCCGACGGCUCCAUCCGGCUACGUCCCUGCCCCCUCGACACCACCAUGGCAUUUUUCGUCGCCCCCUCGUCCUCACCAGCCUCUCCGCGCGUGAAACCGAGGUUGGGCGCUCGGUUUUGAGCAGCCCCGGCGAGGCCCGCCGCCGCGUGCCGCCGUCCGCUGUUCGCCCGAGCCGCCAGCGCUGCUGAGCCGCGCAACCGAGUUGAGCCGCCGCCCCGCCAGGCAGCCGCUUCGCCCGCCCGAGCCGUCGCCGAGCUGAGCCGCUGAGCCAAGCCGCCCCAACCGCUCUCCACCGUCGGAUUUCGAUCAGACGGCCCGGUUCUGUUCAGCACAAAGUCAAUACCGGUCAGCUUUGGCAGUUUUGCAAAAAGGCUCUUCAGUUUCUAAGAAAUCAACCCUCAAUCCAUCCAGUUCAAAUAUAUUUACAGUUAUACCCUUUUCUUACGUUUUAGCCUUCGUAUCUUUCAAAAUUCUCGCAGAUAAGCUUCUGGAAUCUUGUUUUACCCGUAUCUUUCUUGUUCUAACUCCAAUUUCAGCGAUUCUCGCGCUCAUGCAAUCCUUGCAUCAUGCUCCUCAACAUCUUUAUCACCUUAUUCUGCUUUGUUUGUACUAUUUACUUUAUUGUUUCUUACUUGUUGUAUGUUUUACUUGUGUGAUCGCGUAGACAACGUGCCGUUCGAGGAAAGACAUGAGCCGUAGUACGAAGAAGAGUUUCAACAGUUUAGCGAGAAAGGCAAGUGGACUUCUUCCCCUGCAUAUUCUAUUUUAUCCCAAUAAUAGUAUGAUAAACCACUUUACCUUAAUGUUGCAUUGCAUUAAAAUAAUGAGAUGUCUAUUAAUGACUUACCUGAUCUUUUACUCCUGAAACCUUGAACACCGGGAUUUAAUUUAAUAUGUUGGGUAGAAAUGCUUAGAUGCUUUAUCUUAGGAUGGUUAUGUUAUAAUAUUUUGAAUAUUAAAUAUGACUUUAUAUGUUGUUAUAUGCUUGUUAAUUGCAAGAACACUAUAUUUAAUUGGCAUACGGAGAAAAAAAAACAGUACAACCACAAUGUCACAUGGCUCUAACCCUAACUGAUUAAUUAGACGCGUAAUGAACUAGUGGCUUUACCGAAAGGGCAAGGAGGGGGUCGGUGAUGGGGUAUAGCCCAGUCCUCUUGGGAUAGCAGCCUUUGCUAAGGUGCUGAUCAUUAGGGAAGAUUAUGUACCACACUGCUACUGAAACUCUAGUGGGCCAUUAGUUUCUCUGCGUAUCUUUGUAAAGGCUUUGUGUGAAUCCCUUGCCACUCAUCUUGGAAGUGUUUAAGAGGCUAGCUACCUCGGGCAAAUAGGGAGAUACGAAUUGUGGUGAAAGUGUACAACCUCUAUAAAGUGAAAACUGAUAUAUCAGCCGUGCUCACGAUUACGAGCGGCUUGGAUCCUCACAUGAUAAUAGAACUUAAAUAAUAAAUUAAAUUAUGGUUCUUGGCUUUAGAAUAAUAUUGUUUACUUUAUGCUUAAGUGGGUUGGUAUAAACUUAUACUUAGAUAAAUAGAUGCUCGCUAAUAAAAUAUGACCAAUUAAAAUGCUAACCGCUAUAAGCCUUUUUGCCUCUCUUGCUGGCUUUGUAUUUGUUCCCCCAUUUGUUGAGUACCAACCAUAAGUGUACUCACCCUUGCCUAACCUUGCCUAACCGCUGCUCAGAAGAGAACAUUGAAGUGAAGAACUACGACGAUUUUGAAGAGUUCUAGACGUGCGCUCAUUGGUCAACUGCUUGUGGAAGAAGAUGUUGCUGAAGACUUCGUUCAGGAUAAUGGUAGAACAUUUAUAAUAUUCGGAGUGUAAUAAUAUUAUUAUUCCCUUUUAUUUACAUGUUUGAACAUUAUCUUUGAUAUAUUACACUUUCUAUCUCAACGUAUGCGUGAGAACGGAUCUUGGCACAUAUAUUCUAUGCAUUCGUGAGGUAGUUUUUAUCAUUUGUAUAUCAUUAUCUUUGAGUUAGGUCCACACAUGUGGCAUUUAU